Cyanistes caeruleus (blue tit) is the source of this 984-nucleotide non-coding RNA. NCBI's taxonomy places the organism in Eukaryota, Metazoa, Chordata, Aves, Passeriformes, Paridae. The record is from RefSeq and is a predicted model, not a curated record.
AGUCUGUGAGGGGCCGGCGAACGGAUCGGAUCGCAGGGGAGAGGCGGAGCCGCCGGCGGGAAUCUGCUUCAGGAGGAUCUCUGCUGUAUUCUUUCCUCCCUUUUCUGCUGGGUUUUUUUUUGGUUUUUUUUUUUUUUUUGUUGUUGUUUUUUUUUUUUUAAUCGUAUUUGCUUAACCUGAAAAUUCUUGACCUCAUUUUCCCUCACGAUUUGCCCUCCCCACCACUUGUCUCCCCAUCCUCUCCUGAAGGUCAGUUUGAAAGUAAUUCCUUAUGUUUUAAUACAUAUUUUUAGCCGAUUUAACGUUUUUUAUCGGUUUGUAACUUUUGGUAGGAUUUCUUGCCUUUUUUACCCUUUUUGGAAAGUUUUUUCCCCUCAGGAAGGAGCAGCUUGCCGGAAACGGCGCCCCGCGGAUUUCGGCGUUGUAAAACUACAGUUUUAGAUCUUUAAUUUCCAUUUUUAAAAUUAGUUUUCCGCUUCAAAGAACUAUAUUUGCAUUUUCAGUUAGUAUUUUGGGGUUUUUUUAAGAUUUUUUGGAGGUUUUUUUUCGGAAUUCGAGGCGAAUUUAGCCUCAGAGUUCCACCAGGAUUUGGACCCUCCCCACGUGUUUUGCCUCCUCUUUAACGUUACCUAAAUCAGAAUAUACAUUAAAAUGAAAAACCACAAAACCUUUUCUGAGAAGUUUACCUCCUAAUUAUUCUUUUUUAUCGAUUUUACGUUUUUUUGGCCCAUUUUUCCUCCGUCUUUCCCUGAGGCGCUGCCCGCGCCGGGAAGACCGCGCCACCAAAAGUUCCGAUUCUUAUCCCUUUAUUUUCUAUUUUUAUUUUUCCAUUUUUCAAGAUUCCACCGCUGUUAGUGGGGGGUUUGGGCUUCAACUCUUUAUUUUCUAUUCUGCCGGGGUUUUUUUUCCAGAUAAAUUGUUGUCCUGUUGUUACGAAAACGUUUUUUUAUGGAUCGCUGGAAUAAAUCCUGCUUCGCUGUGGAA